Molecule: long non-coding RNA, 1295 nt
Organism: Dreissena polymorpha
Lineage: Eukaryota; Metazoa; Mollusca; Bivalvia; Myida; Dreissenidae
Exons: 8
Source: RefSeq, a predicted model, not a curated record
AAACAACAUGUGAAAUCGCGAAUGGCUACCUCGAAGGAACAUGCGCUGCAAACACUGACUGUACAAUGACAGCCAAUGCAGGGACAUGCACGUCGACCAAAUGCAAAUGUCAUUCAGGGUUCAUCGCUAACACCGACAUCACAGCUUGUAUAGCUAAUGGUGCAUUGGGGGGAACAUGUUCUGUUGCUGCCGAUUGUACGGGGACUACAAACGCUAACCUUUGCACGGGCUCCAAGUGCGCGUGUAAAUCCACUUAUACAGCAAACACCGCUGGAACAGCUUGUAUAGCUAUGUGGCUAAACAACGAUCUAACACUCAACAUGGAAUAUCUUACAAACGUCUAGGGUUGGCUCUAAAAUAGGCUAAUGGUGCCUUGAGUGGAACAUGUUCUACUGCUGCCAAUUGUACGGGGACUACAAACGCUGACGUUUGCACGGCUUCCGAGUGCGCGUGUAAAUCCACUUAUACAGCAAACACUGCUGGAACAGCCUGUAUAGCAAACGGUGUUCUUAAUGGAGCAUGUAUAGCUAAAAUCGACUGCAACGGAACUACCAAUGCGGACGUUUGCAACUCAACCAGGUGCGUGUGUAUAACCGGAUAUUCAGCAAACACUGAUGGGACAGCAUGUAUAGUUGACGGUGCCCUUGGAGGAAAGUGCACUGCAUCAAGCGACUGUACCAGUACAACGAAUGCCCGCACCUGCACUACCGCCAAAUGUGUGUGCGAUACAGGGUUCUCCUUGAACCCAGAUAAAACUGCCUGUUUGGGAGGCAAUACAGGUUUCGUUUUAACGACCUCGAUCUGGAUAGUGGUCAUCGCCUAUAUGCCUGCAGCUUUAUAUCAAUAGUGAACACGCGUACUUUUCCAAAACAAGUGACUAUGGACAGGUCCUUUGGAAACGACGAGAAGUUAUGUGUGCUCUAACAUUAUGCAGAAUAUUUUAUUAUUUUUGUUUGUUAAAAAAAUCCACGAUGAUGCUACCAGGAGGAUGGACUGUAAUAGGGUAGAAAUGAAUCGUGGUGGACUUUGUUAAGUAUUCGCCGACACAAACUUUAUGUUAUUAUAUUCCACAUAGACACAAAAAAUACUGUAAUUAACCAGUUCAUGAUGAUUUCCAACUUAAAAUAACAUUUUUUGCUCUCUAGAUCGAGUCAAAGUACAAACAUACAUGCAACAUUUCUUGAUUACAUAUAUUAUAUAGAUAUUGGAAUUAAGAUAUCACAUACCGGCAUUAUUUUUUGUUUUGUUUUAUUUUAAAAGCUCCACCAUCCAGCUUUUAUAAUUGAUAAAUAGUA